AUUACAUGGUUUGCUUAGAAUACACGUUGUUGACUCUAACGGGGUAGGCUAGUGGUUGUUGAAAAGGCUUUGAGUUCCCCGGAAAAGAUGGUCUUUGAACCCAAUAUCCUAAAAAAAUACGCCAUGUCCAUCUUCAUAGACCGAGAUUUGUCUAAUCUACAUAUAUGUGGUGUAUUGCAUAAAAUCCCAUGGGUCUGUGACCCUGGUGUAUAGAGAUCACAGUCUAUCACAAAUGUAAGAUACACAUUGUUCUUUUUUUAUUCAUCCAGGACCCUUAAAUCGAUGUUCUGAAUCAUCUAAAUCUACUUCUACAGAUUGUAGUUUAAAAACCUUUUAUAAAGCUCCUUUUUUAUAUAAGUACAAUUUUCAGCAAUUAUAGGAGGGUAUCAACUUUUGACGUCUCUUUGUCUUUGGCAUAUACAACUACUUUUUAUUAGAAGUGGCUCAACAGGGGAUCAGCCAAGUUCGGUAACGGGUUUGUAUCAGAAGAGGUAAGAUUCUAGUGCGGGUCAGAUAAAGGCAGGUAGACCCCAAAAACACCUGCACAUCUUAAUAAUACUUUUACAACGCAUCAAAUUUAUGUACAAAAAGUUAUAGUAGUCCAUAAAGAGCUAAUUAACCCGUUGAUACGAUCUGCACAUCGUAUCACCCGUCCCAUCCAGUUGCCAGUUUGCCACACUUCCUCUUGCGAUAUUUUUUUGGUUUUACCCAUUGGCCUGUUAGAGGUAAAGCAUCGGUACAUUGGUUGAAAUAGCCACCUUCCCCUUCAUCAAUCCUUUAGAGUACUUGACUUCUGCAGCUUGUAGUUGUAUCACCCCAUCUGUUUUGUCAACUUAACUUUGGUAAUACGGAGUAAUUGUAUUUGAUUAUUAUAUGUUUCAGUUGUUUCAUCCAGUAAGACUUCACGAUUGAUUAUAGUGUAAGAUUUGGUUUGUGUGCUGACUGAUCAUGAAGACCAAUGUGCAGAUUCAGGUCAUUAUGUUGUUUGGGUCAACCAAGAAAAUGGUAAAUGGAUCUAAUUCGACAAUGGUGAUCCAGUCCUGCUAAGGGAAGAAGCUAUAACGAAACAAUUUAAAGAGUCCCGUACCAUUGCCAUGUGACGCUGUUCCCAUUAAUAUGGAGUAAUUUGAUUGAAAGAACCGUCAUUUAGCUUGCACCCACUUAGAACAUGGAGUGAAGAACGGUCUGGAGAUUUCGAUUUUACAAAUUUGUUUGGUGGGUUUUCCAUGGUUUUAUUGAAAAAUUAUUCACAAAUCUUUCAGCUUUUAAAAUAUCAAGCACGUGCCCGUGAAAUUGUUUGUUGAUCAUGCUGAUAUACAUCCCGUUUUAAAGCAUGUAAAGCACCCGAAUAUCUGGUAAAGCAUUUCAUGUAAAGCAUUUCAUAAAAUUACCA
Long non-coding RNA from Erigeron canadensis, 1393 nucleotides. RefSeq lists it as uncharacterized. Lineage: Eukaryota; Viridiplantae; Streptophyta; Magnoliopsida; Asterales; Asteraceae. The transcript is spliced from 3 exons. The record is from RefSeq and is a predicted model, not a curated record.